Molecule: ribosomal RNA, 507 nt
Filed under: uncultured bacterium
Lineage: Bacteria
Description: bacterial SSU rRNA
Rfam family: Bacterial small subunit ribosomal RNA
Source: RNAcentral
AGGGUUCGAUUCUGGCUCAGGAUGAACGCUGGCGGCGUGCUUAACACAUGCAAGUCGAACGCUGAAGCUCCCAGCUUGCUGGGGGUGGAUGAGUGGCGAACGGGUGAGUAUCACGUGAGUAACCUGCCCUUGACUCUGGGAUAAGCCCGGGAAACUGGGUCUAAUACUGGAUAGGGGACUGGCCAUCGCAUGGUGGUUGGUUGAAAGCUUUUGCGGUUUUGGAUGGACUCGCGGCCUAUCAGCUUGUUGGUGGGGUAAUGGCCUACCAAGGCUUUGACGGGUAGCCGGCCUGAGAGGGUGACCGGCCACACUGGGACUGAGACACGGCCCAGACUCCUACGGGAGGCAGCAGUGGGGGAUAUUGCACAAUGGGCGCAAGCCUGAUGCAGCGACGCCGCGUGAGGGAUGACGGCCUUCGGGUUGUAAACCUCUUUCAGUUGGGAAGAAGCCUUUCGGGGUGACGGUACCUUCAGAAGAAGCACCGGCUAACUACGUGCCAGCAGCUGC